This is a non-coding RNA of Papio anubis (olive baboon), 126 nucleotides long. The record is from Rfam. Lineage: Eukaryota; Metazoa; Chordata; Mammalia; Primates; Cercopithecidae.
AUCUAUGUGCAUACCACCCUGAAGGGGCCUGAUCUUGUCUGAUCUUGGAAGCUAAGCAGGGUCAGGCCUGGUUAAUACUUGGAUGGGAGAAAAGUGAUGCCCCAAGGAUCCUGUGACACACAAGUA